Molecule: ribosomal RNA, 743 nt
Filed under: Bacillus sp. (in: firmicutes)
Lineage: Bacteria; Bacillati; Bacillota; Bacilli; Caryophanales; Bacillaceae
Description: bacterial SSU rRNA
Rfam family: Bacterial small subunit ribosomal RNA
Source: RNAcentral
GCUCAGGAUGAACGCUGGCGGCGUGCCUAAUACAUGCAAGUCGAGCGAAUGGAUUAAGAGCUUGCUCUUAUGAAGUUAGCGGCGGACGGGUGAGUAACACGUGGGUAACCUGCCCAUAAGACUGGGAUAACUCCGGGAAACCGGGGCUAAUACCGGAUAACAUUUUGAACCGCAUGGUUCGAAAUUGAAAGGCGGCUUCGGCUGUCACUUAUGGAUGGACCCGCGUCGCAUUAGCUAGUUGGUGAGGUAACGGCUCACCAAGGCAACGAUGCGUAGCCGACCUGAGAGGGUGAUCGGCCACACUGGGACUGAGACACGGCCCAGACUCCUACGGGAGGCAGCAGUAGGGAAUCUUCCGCAAUGGACGAAAGUCUGACGGAGCAACGCCGCGUGAGUGAUGAAGGCUUUCGGGUCGUAAAACUCUGUUGUUAGGGAAGAACAAGUGCUAGUUGAAUAAGCUGGCACCUUGACGGUACCUAACCAGAAAGCCACGGCUAACUACGUGCCAGCAGCCGCGGUAAUACGUAGGUGGCAAGCGUUAUCCGGAAUUAUUGGGCGUAAAGCGCGCGCAGGUGGUUUCUUAAGUCUGAUGUGAAAGCCCACGGCUCAACCGUGGAGGGUCAUUGGAAACUGGGAGACUUGAGUGCAGAAGAGGAAAGUGGAAUUCCAUGUGUAGCGGUGAAAUGCGUAGAGAUAUGGAGGAACACCAGUGGCGAAGGCGACUUUCUGGUCUGUAACUGACA